UCGAGCGAGAAAAGGGGGCAACUCCCUGAGUACAGCGGCGCACGGGUGAGCUAACACCGUAGGUAACCUGCCCUCGAGCCGGAAUAACCUACCGAAAGGUGGGCUAAUACCGGAUAUGACCACGGGAGUAACGGCUCCUGAGGUGAAAGAUGGCCAAUGCUUGCAAGCUAGUACUUGAGGAUGGGCCUGCGCGCCAUUAGCUAGUUGGUGGGGUAAUGGCCCACCAAGGCGAUGAUGGCUAGCUGGUCUGAGAGGAUGACCAGCCACACUGGGACUGGAACACGGCCCAGACUCCUACGGGAGGCAGCAGUGGGGGAUAUUGCGCAAUGGGCGAAAGCCUGACGCAGCGACGCCGCGUGGGUGAUGAAGGCCUUCGGGUCGUAAAGCCCUGUCGAGGGGGACGAAUCGGCUGCGACCCAAUACGUCGUGGUCCUGACGGUACCCCUAAAGGAAGCACCGGCUAACUCCGUGCCAGCAGCCGCGGUAA
Molecule: ribosomal RNA, 487 nt
Filed under: uncultured Syntrophobacteraceae bacterium
Lineage: Bacteria; Pseudomonadati; Thermodesulfobacteriota; Syntrophobacteria; Syntrophobacterales; Syntrophobacteraceae
Description: bacterial SSU rRNA
Rfam family: Bacterial small subunit ribosomal RNA
Source: RNAcentral